RNAcentral lists this ribosomal RNA (253 nucleotides) under uncultured bacterium. RNAcentral's name for it is "partial 16S ribosomal RNA". It matches the Rfam family "Bacterial small subunit ribosomal RNA", at positions 524 to 776 of the family's 1533-position model. The record is from RNAcentral.
GACGAACCGUGCGAACGUUGUUCGGAUUCACUGGGCUUAAAGGGCGCGUAGGCGGCGGCUCAAGUCGGGGGUGAAAUCCUCUCGCUUAACGAGAGAAUUGCUUUCGAUACUGGGUCGCUGGAGGGAGAUAGGGGUGCGCGGAACUUCCGCUGGAGCGGUGAAAUGCGUAGAUAUCGGAAGGAACGCCGGUGGCGAAGGCGGGUCUCUGGGCCGAUACUGACGCUGAGGAGCGAAAGCGUGGGGAGCGAACAGG